GUCUAUGGCCAUACCACCCUGAACAUGCCCAAUCUCCUCUGAUCUCAGAAGCUAAGCAGGGUCGAUCCUGGUUAGUACUUGGAUGGGAGACAUGAGUUCAAGAUGAAAGAAGACU
Molecule: ribosomal RNA, 115 nt
Organism: Erinaceus europaeus (western European hedgehog)
Lineage: Eukaryota; Metazoa; Chordata; Mammalia; Eulipotyphla; Erinaceidae
Source: Ensembl